UACGGGAGGGGCUAGUGUUAUUCGAAAUGAUUGGGCGUAAAGGGCGUGUAGGUGGUUUUUUACGUUUUAGAGGUAAAUAUUGUAGCUCAACUACAAACAACUUCUUUAGACGGUUAAACUAUUAGAGUAUGAUAUAGGGUGAUAGAAUUUUUAGUGUAACAGCAAUAUGUGCGAAUAUUAAAAAGACUGCAAAUGCGAAGGCGAUUACCUGGUUCAUGACUGACACUGAUCCGCGAAAGCAUGGGGAGCGAAUCGG
This 256-nucleotide ribosomal RNA is filed under the name uncultured bacterium. RNAcentral's name for it is "partial 16S ribosomal RNA". It matches the Rfam family "Bacterial small subunit ribosomal RNA", at positions 524 to 776 of the family's 1533-position model. The record is from RNAcentral.